This is a non-coding RNA of Vicia faba (fava bean), 249 nucleotides long. The record is from the annotation of a GenBank genome assembly. Lineage: Eukaryota; Viridiplantae; Streptophyta; Magnoliopsida; Fabales; Fabaceae.
AUGGCUCGAAUUCCGAGAUCGGAUAUGAAGAUGAACGCGAUUAGGUCAGGGAUAGUUGUGUUAGGAGCAGUAGCGUUUGGUUACUUGAGUCUUCGAAUUGGUUUCAAAUCUUAUCUGGAGAAAGCUAAAGCUGAUCAGCAGUAUCAGCAUCAGCAUCAAAAUGAGCUUCAACAAGCUCAAUCUGAUUCUGAUUCUGACCCAUCUUCAUCUUUCAAGGAACCUAUCUCUUUCCCUGAACGUAGUUCAUAA